AUUCUAUGGGAAUCUAGUGGAAACAUUUCUGCAUAAACUAGAUUAUGGAUACUAGUGUGUGGAAAUGCUUCUGCUCCAUUUUUAGAG
Molecule: microRNA precursor, 87 nt
Organism: Dasypus novemcinctus (nine-banded armadillo)
Lineage: Eukaryota; Metazoa; Chordata; Mammalia; Cingulata; Dasypodidae
Source: Ensembl